This 463-nucleotide long non-coding RNA is filed under the name Homo sapiens (human). RNAcentral describes it as "HSALNT0317546". The record is from RNAcentral. Lineage: Eukaryota; Metazoa; Chordata; Mammalia; Primates; Hominidae.
CAGAAGACAUGUCGGAAAGGAGACUCUUUUGGAGAUACGUAGGGAGAGAGGAAGUGAUACUCCACCUACGAAAACAACACACAAGAUGCGCAGAUCACUACGAGAUGGAAUCCUGCUAGCUGUGCUGUCUUUCCAUCCGGGUCACGCCCGAGAGGCACACAGCCCAACUCCUUGCUGAGAUCUUCAUAUUCCGUGUCCUACUGACGGGCUGCCUGGGAGACAUGAGUGACAGAAAACCUGACACUGCUCUGGAUUCUGAAACACCUGCUGAGCUCUGUCCUAGGUCUCUAAUCCACAGCCUCCCGACUUCUCUCAAACAAGUUACCAAUUCUACAUACAAUUAUACCUCAGUUCACUUUAAAAUGUACUAUGGCUACAAUCACCCUUCCAACAGGAACACACAGGAACACAUCACAUUUCAAAAUACUUGACAUUCAGCAAAAUAAAAACGUAAUUGGAAUCA